UACGUAGGGUGCGAGCGUUAAUCGGAAUUACUGGGCGUAAAGCGUGCGCAGGCGGUUUGUUAAGACAGAUGUGAAAUCCCCGGGCUUAACCUGGGAACUGCAUUUGUGACUGGCAAGCUAGAGUAUGGCAGAGGGGGGUAGAAUUCCACGUGUAGCAGUGAAAUGCGUAGAGAUGUGGAGGAAUACCGAUGGCGAAGGCAGCCCCCUGGCCAAUACUGACGCUCAUGCACGAAAGCGUGGGGAGCAAACAGG
This 252-nucleotide ribosomal RNA is filed under the name uncultured bacterium. RNAcentral describes it as "partial 16S ribosomal RNA". It matches the Rfam family "Bacterial small subunit ribosomal RNA", at positions 524 to 776 of the family's 1533-position model. The record is from RNAcentral.